Oncorhynchus tshawytscha (Chinook salmon) is the source of this 553-nucleotide long non-coding RNA. The record is from Ensembl. Lineage: Eukaryota; Metazoa; Chordata; Actinopteri; Salmoniformes; Salmonidae.
GGGGGUCCAUGAUGAUCUUCUAGAUGGUAGCGGGUUGAACAGGCCGCGGCUCUGGGGGGUCCUUGAUGAUCUUCUAGAUGGUAGCGGGUUGAACAGGCCAUGGCUCGGGGGUCCUUGAUGAUCUUCUAGAUGGUAGCGGGUUGAACAGGCCGUGGCUCGGGGGGUCCUUGAUGAUCUUCUGGAUGGUAGCGGGUUGAACAGGCCAUGGCUCGGGGGGUCCUUGAUGAUCUUCUAGAUGGUAGCGGGUUGAACAGGCCGUGGCUCGGGGGGUCCUUGAUGAUCUUCUAGAUGGUAGCGGGUUGAACAGGCCACGGCUCGGGGGGUCCUUGAUGAUUUUCUUGGCCUCCUUGUGACACCGGGUACUGUAGAUGUUCUGGAGGGCAGGCAGUGUGCCCCCGAUGGGCAGGGUACUGUGUAGUGAGGCGUUGGGCUGACCGUACCACCCUCUGGAGAGCCCUGUGGUUGCGGGCGGCGCAGUUGCCGUACCUGGCGGUGAUACAGACCAACAGGAUGCUCUUCAUGGUGCGUCUGUAGAAUUUUGUGAGGGUCUUAG